Molecule: unclassified non-coding RNA, 332 nt
Filed under: soil metagenome
Description: partial contains 5.8S ribosomal RNA, internal transcribed spacer 2, and large subunit ribosomal RNA
Rfam family: 5.8S ribosomal RNA (bases 1-120)
Source: RNAcentral
GAUGAUGAACGCAGCGAAAUGCGAUAAGUAGUGUGAAUUGCAGAAUUCAGUGAAUCAUCGAAUCUUUGAACGCACAUUGCGCCCCUCGGUAUUCCGUGGGGCAUGCCUGUUCGAGCGUCAUUUACCCCUCAAGCACUGCUUGGUGUUGGGCGUCUGUCCCGCUUCGCGCGCGGACUCGCCCCAAAGGUAUUGGCAGCGGUCGUGCCAGCUUCUCGCGCAGCACAUUGCGCUUCUCGAGGCGGUCGAUCGGCGUCCACGAAGCUCACCUCCACCGUUUGACCUCGGAUCAGGUAGGGAUACCCGCUGAACUUAAGCAUAUCAAAAGCGGAGGA